GGGGUGUAUAGCUCAGUGGUAGAGCAUUCGUCUGUUGUUCGAGAAGUCCCCGGUUCAAACCCGGGUGCCCCCU
RNAcentral lists this transfer RNA (73 nucleotides) under Trichonephila clavipes. Its description in RNAcentral is "tRNA-Asn". It matches the Rfam family "tRNA". Rfam says of the family: Transfer RNA (tRNA) molecules are approximately 80 nucleotides in length. Their secondary structure includes four short double-helical elements and three loops (D, anti-codon, and T loops). Further hydrogen bonds mediate the characteristic L-shaped molecular structure. tRNAs have two regions of fundamental functional importance: the anti-codon, which is responsible for specific mRNA codon recognition, and the 3' end, to which the tRNAs corresponding amino acid is attached (by aminoacyl-tRNA synthetases). tRNAs cope with the degeneracy of the genetic code in two manners: having more than one tRNA (with a specific anti-codon) for a particular amino acid; and 'wobble' base-pairing, i.e. permitting non-standard base-pairing at the 3rd anti-codon position. The record is from RNAcentral. Lineage: Eukaryota; Metazoa; Arthropoda; Arachnida; Araneae; Nephilidae.